AUACCCAAAGUGAGAAGGGCAAACUGUGCUGUAAUGAUCAUGAAGGUGGUUUUCCCAGGGUGAGGCUCAUCCAUUGCACUGCAGGUGUGCUGACUUCUGCGAUUUCCCCAAAUGCGGGAAACUUGACUGCAUAAUUUGUGGUAGUGGGGGACUGCAUUCGCGCUCUCCCCUG
This is a small nuclear RNA of Chelonoidis abingdonii (Abingdon island giant tortoise), 172 nucleotides long. Its record names the gene U1. It matches the Rfam family "U1 spliceosomal RNA". Rfam says of the family: U1 is a small nuclear RNA (snRNA) component of the spliceosome (involved in pre-mRNA splicing). Its 5' end forms complementary base pairs with the 5' splice junction, thus defining the 5' donor site of an intron. The record is from Ensembl. Lineage: Eukaryota; Metazoa; Chordata; Testudines; Testudinidae.